AAAACUCGGGGCUCAACCCCGAGCCUGCAGUCGAUACGGGCAGACUAGAGUGCUGUAGGGGAGACUGGAAUUCCUGGUGUAGCGGUGAAAUGCGCAGAUAUCAGGAGGAACACCGGUGGCGAAGGCGGGUCUCUGGGCAGUAACUGACGCUGAGGAGCGAAAGCGUGGGGAGCGAAACGGAUUAGAUACCCUGGUAGUCCACGCCGUAAACGGUGGGUGCUAGGUGUAGGCGGUAUUCCACGCCCUCUGUGCCGCAGCUAACGCAUUAAGCACCCCGCCUGGGGAGUACGGCGCAAGGCUAAAACUCAAAGGAAUUGACGGGGGCCCGCACGAGCAGCGGAGCAUGUGGCUUAAUUCGACGCAACGCGAAGAACCUUACCAAGGCUUGACAUACACCGAAAACUCCAGAGAUAGGGGGUCCGCAAGGGCGGUGUACAGGUGGUGCAUGGUUGUCGUCAGCCCGUGUCGUGAGAUGUUGGGUUAAGUCCCGCAACGAGCGCAACCCUCGUUCUAUGUUGCCAGCGCGUUAUGGCGGGGACUCAUAGGAGACUGCCGGGGUCAACUCGGAGGAAGGUGGGGACGACGUCAAAUCAUCAUGCCCCUUAUGUCUUGGGCUGCACACAUGCUACAAUGGCCGGUACAAAGGGCUGCUAAACCGCGAGGUGGAGCGAAUCCCAAAAACCGGUCUCAGUUCGGAUUGGGGUCUGCAACUCGACCCCAUGAAUCGGAGUUGCUAGUAAUCGCAGAUCAGCAACGCUGCGGUGAAUACGUUCCCGGCCUUGUACACACCGCCC
This 794-nucleotide ribosomal RNA is filed under the name uncultured bacterium. RNAcentral describes it as "bacterial SSU rRNA". It matches the Rfam family "Bacterial small subunit ribosomal RNA", at positions 597 to 1395 of the family's 1533-position model. The record is from RNAcentral.